RNAcentral lists this ribosomal RNA (482 nucleotides) under uncultured bacterium. Its description in RNAcentral is "partial 16S ribosomal RNA". It matches the Rfam family "Bacterial small subunit ribosomal RNA", at positions 28 to 507 of the family's 1533-position model. The record is from RNAcentral.
GACGAACGCUGGCGGCGUGCUUAACACAUGCAAGUCGAACGAUGAAGAAGAGAAACGCGAACUUCGGUUCAAAUUUCACUUCGGAUUAGUGGCAGACGGGUGAGUAACGCGUGAGCAACCUACCUCUUACAAAGGGAUAGCCUCGGGAAACCGUGAUUAAUACCAUAUGACACAUUCAUAAGGCAUCUUAAGAAUGUUAAAGCUACGGCGGUAAGAGAUGGACUCGCGUCCCAUUAGCUAGUUGGUGAGGUAACGGCCCACCAAGGCGACGAUGGGUAACCGGCCUGAGAGGGUGAACGGUCACAGUGGAACUGAGACACGGUCCAAACUCCGACGGGAGGCAGCAGUGGGGAAUAUUGCACAAUGGAGGGAACUCUGAUGCAGCGACGCCGCGUGAGCGAUGAAGGAAUUCGUUUCGUAAAGCUCUGUUCUAUGGGAAGAAAAGGACUGUACCAUAGGAGAAAGCCCCGGCUAAAUACGUG